Molecule: ribosomal RNA, 303 nt
Filed under: uncultured bacterium
Lineage: Bacteria
Description: partial 16S ribosomal RNA
Rfam family: Bacterial small subunit ribosomal RNA
Source: RNAcentral
AGCAGCAGCCACGGUAAUACGUAGGGUGCAAGCGUUAAUCGGAAUUACUGGGCGUAAAGCGUGCGCAGGCGGUUUGUUAAGUCUGAUGUGAAAGCCCCGGGCUCAACCUGGGAAUGGCAAUGGAUACUGGCGAGCUAGAGUGUGUCAGAGGAUGGUGGAAUUCCCGGUGUAGCGGUGAAAUGCGUAGAGAUCGGGAGGAACAUCAGUGGCGAAGGCGGCCAUCUGGGACAACACUGACGCUGAGGCACGAAAGCGUGGGGAGCAAACAGGAUUAGAUACCCCAGUAGUCCCUGUCUCUUAUAC